AUACGGAGGGUGCAAGCGUUAUCCGGAAUCAUUGGGUUUAAAGGGUCCGUAGGCGGAUAAUUAAGUCAGGGGUGAAAUCCCACAGCUCAACUGUGGCACUGCCUUUGAUACUGGUUAUCUUGAGUUAUAGGGAAGUAGAUAGAAUAUGUAGUGUAGCGGUGAAAUGCAUAGAUAUUACAUAGAAUACCGAUUGCGAAGGCAGUCUACUAUCUGUAUACUGACGCUAAGGGACGAAAGCGUGGGGAGCGAACAGGAUUAGAAACCCCUGUAGUCC
This 274-nucleotide ribosomal RNA is filed under the name uncultured bacterium. RNAcentral describes it as "partial 16S ribosomal RNA". It matches the Rfam family "Bacterial small subunit ribosomal RNA", at positions 523 to 796 of the family's 1533-position model. The record is from RNAcentral.